Non-coding RNA from Clostridium sp. CAG:269, 349 nucleotides. The record is from Rfam. NCBI's taxonomy places the organism in Bacteria, Bacillati, Bacillota, Clostridia, Eubacteriales, Clostridiaceae.
CGAGCAAAUUAAAUAGUCGCUGGUAAGAGAUGAAAAGACUUACGAGAGGAAAGUCCGGGCUCCAUAGAGCAAUGAUGCUAGAUAACGUCUAGUGAGGGAAACCUUAAGGAAAGUGCAACAGAAAAUAACCGCCUCUUUAGAGGUAAGGAUGAAAAGGUGAGGUAAGAGCUCACCGCUAAUAUGGUGACAUAUUGGGUCAGUGUAAACCCCAUCUGGAGCAACACCUAAGAAGAAGAUUAAGCCUGCUCGGCGCCUUCUGAAUUGCGUGGCUUGAUACAUAUAGUAAUAUAUGUACUAGAUAAAUGACUAUUUUAAAUGACAGAACCCGGCUUACAGAUUUGCCUAUAAA